CCCCAUGCUGCCUGAUGGACCUAGCACUGUACUGCUGCUGUGCCAAUGGUUAAUCGCUGUGUUGUGUUCAGUCGCAGUCUCAGCCCUUUAUAUCUGUUUUCCCUUUCUGUUAUGGUAUGUAAAGUACAAGACAUCAGACAGAUGAGCUACUCUUCUGUUUGCGAGGGUAACACAACCCUUGCUGGCUGAUGUAGCCGGCCCUAUAGCUGCGAUGUGCAAAAGGUUAAUAACUGUAGUGAGUUGAGUUGCAUUCUCAGCUCUUUAUUUGUUUUUUUUCCAUUCUAUUACAGCAUGUAAUAUAUGAGACAUCAGGCAAAUGAGCUUCUCUUCUGUUUUUGAGGUUCACAGUCCCCAUGAACUGGCACUGUGCGAAGGGUUAAUAGCUGUGAUGCGCUCAUUUGCAGUCUCAGCCCUUUAUUUCUAUUGUCCCUUUCGGUUAUGGUAUGUAAAAUAGAAGAUAUCAGACAGAUGAGCUACUCUUCUGUUUCUGAGGAUCACAGACCCCAUACUGGCUGAUGUAGCUGGCCCAGUUUCAGUGAUGUGCAAAGGGUUAACAGCGGUGGUGCGUUCAGCUGCAGUCUCCGCUCUUUAUUUGUUUUUUCCAUUUUGUUAUGGCAUGUAAUAUAUGAGACAUCAGACAGAUGAGCUUCUCUUCUGUUUUUGAGGUUCACAGUCCCCAUGAACUGGCACUGUGCGAAGGGUUAAUAGCUGUGGUGCGUUCAUUCGUAGUCCCGGCCCUUUAUUUCUAUUGUCCCUUUCUGUUAUGGUAUGUAAAAUAGAAGAUAUCAGACAGAUGAGCUACUCUUCUGUUUCUGAGGGUCACAGACCCCAUGCUGGCUGAUGUAUUUAGCCCUUCUAUCUAUCUAUCUAUCU
Erpetoichthys calabaricus (reedfish) is the source of this 873-nucleotide long non-coding RNA. RefSeq lists it as uncharacterized. Lineage: Eukaryota; Metazoa; Chordata; Cladistia; Polypteriformes; Polypteridae. The transcript has 3 exons. The record is from RefSeq and is a predicted model, not a curated record.